CGAAGUCUCCUGCGGAUGCCGCCCGCUCCCGAGCUUCUGUCAGGGGAGCGGGCGUGCGGGGGCGGCUGAGGAGGCGGGAAGGCGGCAGUGGUUGAAGGGGUGAUUGCUGACUAGCGGGGAGGGAGUGGGCAGCGAUGGUGAUGGCGGCGAAGAAGGGCCCGGGCCCGGGCGGCGGGGUCAGCGGGGGCAAGGCGGAGGCGGAGGCGGCCUCGGAGGUGUGGUGCCGUCGGGUGCGGGAGCUGGGUGGCUGCAGCCAGGCCGGGAACCGCCACUGCUUCGAGUGCGCCCAGCGCGGGGUCACCUACGUGGAUAUCACCGUGGGCAGCUUCGUGUGCACCACCUGCUCCGGCCUCCUGAGAGGGCUGAACCCCCCUCAUCGUGUCAAGUCAAUCUCCAUGACAACUUUCACUGAGCCUGAAGUAGUAUUCCUGCAAUCCCGUGGAAAUGAGGUUUGCCGGAAGAUUUGGUUGGGUCUAUUUGAUGCUCGGACAUCUUUAGUACCAGAUUCCAGGGAUCCUCAGAAAGUGAAGGAGUUUCUCCAGGAAAAAUAUGAGAAGAAGAGAUGGCCAGACACCUUCCCAAGGAGGCUUUGCCAACUUUGAUGCCUUUAGCAGUGGCCCCAGCUCUUCUGUGUUUGGAAGCCUCCCUCCAGCUGGUCAAGCCUCGUUCCAGGCCCAGCCAACUCCUGCAGGUAAACUGUGCCCCACUGGCUUCCUUUCUCUUCCAACCGUGUCCAUUUGUUCAUGUCCAUAAAUCACCAUUCAUAUCCUCACUAUCCUAAAGAACUGCUCAAAGCAGCAAAGCACAAAGAGAAGCAGCUCCAGGAGAGGAUGAGCGUGUCUGACACAUUCUUGUCAGGGAGAAGGGGCUCUACUGUUCUGCUUUUUCAUGAAAGGAAAAUGACUAAGAUUGCAGCAGGAGCUGUGUGGGUUAUACACUAGGAAACUUUUCACUAGGAAGUAUGGAAGACCUGAGUCCUAGAAAAAUUGAAAAUGGACGUGACUUUUUCUCUUAAGGUGCUCUUGUCUGCAUAGUACGCUGUCCCAAAGGGUCAAGGGUCAAGGUAGUCUCCAGAAGUCCUCAUCCAUCCCUCUAAGACCAAAGGCCUGUAAACUCUGUGUUGCUGCCAGCCACAAUGGCUCACGCCUGCAAUCCUAACACUUUGGGAGGCCGAGGUGGGAGGAUCGCUUGAGCCCAGGAGUUUGAGGCUGUAGUGAGUGAUUAUUGUCCCAUUGCACUCCAGUCUGGGUGACAGAGUGAGACCCCGUCUCAAAACAAACGAACGAACAAACAAAACCAAAUAAACUAUGUUAUUUAGCCAUUGCAA
This 1327-nucleotide small RNA is filed under the name Pan troglodytes (chimpanzee). RNAcentral's name for it is "retained intron". Lineage: Eukaryota; Metazoa; Chordata; Mammalia; Primates; Hominidae. The record is from RNAcentral.